GAUGAACGCUGGCGGCGUGCCUAAUACAUGCAAGUAGAACGCUGAAGGAAGGAGCUUGCUCUUUCCGGAUGAGUUGCGAACGGGUGAGUAACGCGUAGGUAACCUGCCUGGUAGCGGGGGAUAACUAUUGGAAACGAUAGCUAAUACCGCAUAACAGUAGAUGUUGCAUGAUAUAUACUUAAAAGGUGCAAUUGCACCACUACCAGAUGGACCUGCGUUUUAUUAGUUAGUUGGUGAGGUAACGGCUCACCAAGGCGACGUUACAUAGCCGACCUGAGAGGUGGACCGCCAAACUUGGACUGGAACACGGCCCAAGCUCCUUCCGGAGGCAGCAGUUGGGAAUCUUUGGCAAUGGGCCGAAAGCUUACCGCACAACGCCGCGUUGGUGAAGGAAGGUUUCCGAGCGUUAAACUCUGUUUUUAGAGAAAGACGAGUAUGAGGUUAAUAAGUUCACGUUGUGACGGUAUCUAACCAGAAAGCAACGGCUAACUACGUG
Molecule: ribosomal RNA, 496 nt
Filed under: uncultured bacterium
Lineage: Bacteria
Description: partial 16S ribosomal RNA
Rfam family: Bacterial small subunit ribosomal RNA
Source: RNAcentral